Acinonyx jubatus (cheetah) is the source of this 4441-nucleotide long non-coding RNA. RefSeq lists it as uncharacterized. The record is from RefSeq and is a predicted model, not a curated record. NCBI's taxonomy places the organism in Eukaryota, Metazoa, Chordata, Mammalia, Carnivora, Felidae. The transcript is spliced from 4 exons.
ACCAUUCCGCAUUACUUUGUUUUUCUAUCAACGUGAUUUUCUUUCCCACUAGCCUGUGAUCAAUGUGCUUGCAGAGACUUCCUUUCGUCUUUGGACGCCCAGACCCCUGCACGGCGCCUUGGUGGCGCCCGGCAGGAGCUCAUCUGUAUGGCAAAGAAAUGAGUGAAGAGAACUCAGUGACAGUGGCAUCCAGAAGUCCAAGAGAGGAGAGACUUUCAAGCAGGGAGGGUCCCACUGUCAAAUUUAACUGGUGGUCAUAACAUGAUGAGGACCAAAGGGUCUGCAGGCCGUGGCCGAGGAGAGGUCAGUCGUACCUUGUUAAAAGCAAUGCGGAUCCUCUUCAAGUCUUGCCGGGGCACCUGACCUCUAGGCCCUGAAGGCCAGGGAGACACUGGUCAAAGUCUGAGAAGUACGGGGCCCGACAGGAGACACCAGUCACGGUUACAUCCUCACGGAGACGCCAGCGGUCUGCCUAGCCCAGCAAAGCCUUCGGGACUAUUUGGUUGUAGAGAGGUGGGGGGAAGGGGCGGCCACGCCUGUGCCAGCUCUCUCCUCACCCCUCUCCCCGCGGAUCAGGACUUUCCUGCAACUCCUUCAACCACGCCAGCAAAAGGGCAAGAGAGCAAGAUAACAUCUGGCCCAGUCUUUCAUGGCUGGAGGCAGAGGUGGUCCCAAGGGUCUUGUCCCCUGGAUCCUUCCGGCCUGGGCCCUGUGCUAAAGAAGCUACAGCCAGCAGCCCGUGCCUUCCACCUUUCUGUCCUUGGGCCAUCUGUGCUUGAGCUUCUCCACCUGCUGACUCCCGUCUGCUCACGGGCUCAACCAAGCACGCAGGAACUGAGCCCUUACUCUGUGCUGACGCUGAGCUAGUCACUGGGAAUUGCAAGAAGAGAGGGGAAGGCUCCUACCCUCAAGGGGCUGAGUGUACUUGGGAGAACGUGCAGGUGAGCAGGUAUUUAUAUACAGUCGGGAUAGAUGUCAUGCUAGAGGUAGGCACGGGGGACCCGGAGAGGCCAGAAGAGGGCGUCUGUUUUAGCCUGGGCCUUCAGGAGAGUCUUUCCCAUGGUGGUGAUGACAUUGGGGAGGGGCAAUGGGAGCCAGCUAGGGCGAGGUAGGUGGGGUAGGUGGCAGAGACGAGGGCAAUGCGGUAAGGAGCUUGCGGGAGCCAGUUUACGGGGGUGAGGAGCCCUCGGGGCGGUGCGGGGAGACUCUAGAAGCAGCGUGCAGCGGCCUGGAGUCCAAGAUCUGAGAUGUGGCGACGCGGCAGGAGGCCAAGGUCAUCAGGAAGCAAGAGAACGUGAAAGGCCUCGUCCACCAGGGCUGUGAGCCGAGGCUUUGCCUUGUAGGGGACGGGGGACCUCAGAAGGGUCUAAAGCACGGCUGUGAGCAUCAUCGGCGUUGGCUCUUAAGUAGCUCACGGUGGCCUCCCACCCUUCUUUCUCCCGUGUCCUCUCGUCUCCGCAUCUUGUGACCCCAAAGCCGCAUGUGAUUAUUGUGGUGAACCCUAAAAACAGGAAAUGACUGGGGGCUGAUAUUCACACAUUCACAGUUGGCCCAGCUGUCGGCAGGCAGGCCAGUCUGCCGGUGAAUAUUAUGGGCCUUUCUCUACCGGGGUCCCUGCUCCUGCUUGGUCUUUUCGUGGAGCAAGCCCAUCUGGGAGCUUUUCUCUCUCCAGGCCAGGCUCUGGGUGGCCCCUGUCCACAGGGACAUCUCCCAGGCAUAUGGCAAAAUAAUGGGGUUGUUCCCGGGGAAUCAAAGCAUACGAAGCGGGGCCCCUGGGUGGCUCAGCCGUUAAGCGUCUGACUUCUGCUCGGGUCAGGAUCUCGUGGUCCAUGAGUUCGCGCCCCGCUUUGGGUGAGCCCUGCUUUUCUCCCCACCCCACCCCUGCCCCUCAUGGGAUUCUCUCUCUUUCUCUGCUCCCCUCGCUCACUUGUGCCCACCCUCUCUCAAAAUAGAUAGUGGCCUUUCUCUCAAGGCCACUGACUUGGCCUUGAAAGCUCAAAGCUCUCCAACAGACGUGGGCAGAUUUGGCCUCUGUCUCUCCCUGUGCGUACUCAGGGUGGUGAACCACCUCGGUGUCAGUGCCUCGUGCCUUCUGCCCGGUGAAGGGAGCGCCCAGGGUAGCUCUGCAGUCUUCCCUUGGUGAUUUUUGUAGACGCAGCGCAGCUGGGCCGGCCCCGUGUCGCACCGAGCUCCAGGAUCGGUGACAAUGGACAAUGCAUCUUCAUCCUGACUUGUGUGGCAGAAAGCAGAGGAACCUCUGUGGCCUACAGCCGGAUGCCUCUGGGACCCCGGACCGCUGUGUCCCACAGAGGGUCUGUCCUCAGUAUCUCCUUGAGGCCCCGGGGACAGUGCUGUGGCCUUCACCUGCACGGUCCAGGACGCAGUCAGUAACAGCGGCUCCCUCCCCGUCUCAGCGCCGCCCUUGUGUGCAGGGCCAGGGAUCCUGGGAGGGGACACGGUCGGGGAGACAGUGUUCGGUAGGUAUCCCUGGGGAGUCGGCCACUCGGCCCCUGGAAGUCCCAGCCGGGCAGGAAGUGGAAAAGGUUACCUGGAGCUCUGGACAGCUUGUCGCUGUUUUGCAACCAGGACCCGGAGGCAAACCAAUCCUGGCUGCUGGGACUUAGGGACCUUAGAGCGAACGACUGUGUGUCCUCUCUGCAGAUCAGGUCCCCAAGGCUGCAGGGCCCUGGCCCCUCCGGAGCCUGGAUAACUCUGCCUAUUUGUCAACGCCACCAAGGAUUUCACCCUGCGGGUCUGUGGUGGGGGGGGGGGGGGCGCGGAGGGCUCACAUCUGAACUUUGACCUUUCUGCUCUGCCCUGCCUGACCAGGCCAGAGUCUCCUCAGAGCUCAAACCUAACUUUCGCGCACAGAGAAGCUGCAGCAGCCCGAUAUCGCUGCCGGUUCCCGGAUGGCGAAGGGUGGGGCCCGCUGUGUCCCCCUGACGGGCUCCCUGUGACAGGCCGGAGAGGAUGUGCGGUAUAGUCGGCCCCGCUCGGCCGGGUGGCGGGGGUGGGGGACCACUCUCACGUCACCUGGACUUCUGGGGUCGGCGACAGCUAUCGCUGCACGGCCAGGAACCGGUCAGUCAGAGCUCGGGCUCAGUCCCCACGGGGCCCCUCUGCGCAGGUAACCCCCUCCUGUGAGCCCCCUCCUUGACAGCCUGGGCCUAGGUCCUUAGCAUCCCCACCUGGCUUGCUGGGGACUCCAGGGCUGGUCGAGGAAAAGGCGGGCGGGAUCACUGAGAGCAGUGAGUGUCUCUGGGGUGGCAGGAAGGGACGGUUCUGGUGCCAUCACCCCAGGGCCUGCUGUCCAGCUUCUGUCUGGCUGCCCCAGACCCUGCGCUUGGCUCACUCCUGGGUCUCCCCCAGCCCACCCGCUCCUGCAGACCCACUGAGGAGGAGCCCCAGACCUUGGCCGUGUCCUCAGAGAAGCCUGGAGCUGCUCUGAGAGGGAGAUCCAGGCCGUGGCUCCUGUGGCAUCCAGGACGGCCUCUCCCGGUGUCCACCGGCCGCUGCGGGAAACCGCUUCGGUCCAAACACAUUCUGUCCCUCUUCCCUCUUCUUGGCCGACUUCUGGACGUCUCUCUGUUCCCUGUCUCUGAGUCCCAUGCUCCCCCGCACUGAGCCAGCCAGGCGCCCCCCGAGCAUUUAGAAGGUGCCUGUGUUGUUGGAGGCUUCGAGGAGAGGUCUGGAUACAUCGCCACCCCUCUGGGAGCUCAGUCACAAUUGUUACAGUUCGCCCCUGACCCCACGAAAUGACUUGAGCGGGGACGGAGCGAGUUGUACGAGAGCCUUUGUCCGUGUCUGGCUUCUCCAUUGAAUGAGACCAAUGCUCAUUCUUAGUUCCUUCUGUGUCUCCAAUAUACAGCAUGGAAUAGGCGUGAAACGUGCGACUCUGAGGUGUAUUUAGGGAGCAGCCUGUGCUGGGUGUGACAGGACCCAAGGACACAUGGUCACGGGUUGCAGACGCUAACAUUCUCCCGGCCCUUCCAGGGCGUCCGGAGGGCAGUCCACCUCCUUCCCCCUGAUUUGGCUUCCUUAAGGGGCCUCCAGCCCACCCACACUUCUGACUUCUUUUCUUGGAAAUCCCUUCCCCUGUCUGCCUGUCUUCCAUUUCUUCUCUUUCCUUCCUUUUACGCCAGUUCCUAACCUGUGGUCAUUGUUUCAUUCAGCCUCCUUCCUACUUUGCUCCUUGAAGAAAGAAUUUCUUCUCUUUUUGGUCCUGGGACCUUUGCUGAUUGGAUACAUUCGACCUUGACACGUGGAGAAGUCAAGAGAAAUAAUGUGAGGAGGGGGGUCACCCUGUGAGACACAGACAUGAGUGCCACCUGCUGCCAACAUCUCCCGGUGAGAGAGGGACACCAAUCCCGAGUAAGACAUAAACCCUAUUUCAUUUGCAAACGGAGUUCGGAAUCGCCAACAAGCUGUGACAUAGCUUCUG